RNAcentral lists this ribosomal RNA (384 nucleotides) under uncultured Anaerolineaceae bacterium. Its description in RNAcentral is "bacterial SSU rRNA". It matches the Rfam family "Bacterial small subunit ribosomal RNA", at positions 987 to 1382 of the family's 1533-position model. The record is from RNAcentral. Lineage: Bacteria; Bacillati; Chloroflexota; Anaerolineae; Anaerolineales; Anaerolineaceae.
UGUUGGUAGUCGGGUCUAUGAAAGUCGGGCCCCACCCUCGGGAGGCCAUCACAGGUUGUUGCAUGGCUGUCGUCAGCUCGUGUCGUGAGAUGUUCGGUUAAGUCCGCUAACGAGCGCAACCCUCGUCGUAUGUUAUAUGUGUCAUACGAGACUGCCGGUAAAAGCCGGAGGAAGGUGAGGAUGAUGUCAAGUCAGCAUGACCUUUAUAUCCAGGGCUACACACACGCUACAAUGGUCUGUACAAUGGGUAGCCAAGCCGCGAGGCGGAGCCAAUCCUGAAAGCAGGCCUCAGUUCAGAUUGCAGUCUGCAACUCGACUGCAUGAAGCCGGAGUUGCUAGUAACCGCAGGUCAGCAAUACUGCGGUGAAUACGUUCCCGGGUCUU